This is a long non-coding RNA of Carassius carassius (crucian carp), 572 nucleotides long. RefSeq lists it as uncharacterized. The record is from RefSeq and is a predicted model, not a curated record. NCBI's taxonomy places the organism in Eukaryota, Metazoa, Chordata, Actinopteri, Cypriniformes, Cyprinidae. The transcript has 3 exons.
CGACUUUUAUUUUGGCGCGGAGGCGUGACGUCAUCGGCCUGCGUCUGUGGAAAGGUUUGUGUUUUCAGUGUUAAAUCGAUUUAAACCGAGUUAUCGUGUAGUACGUACAAACUCUGCACGUACAGUAAUUAUUUUAUUAUUAUGAUGCGUACGAUUUCUCUCUCUGGCGUGUAGUGACAGAAAACAGUCUGCUUUUGGAAACUUAAUUUGGAGUCAGAAGCUCGUCAGUGACUGUUUGAAUCCGCUGCUCGAGAACAACAGACACAAAGAAACAGUUCUUCAUCGAGUAUGUCGAUGAUUAAAGAGGAGAGAGAGGAGGUCAGGAUUGAUGAACAGACUCCAGCAGGCAUGAUGCUGCUGAAAGAGGAACAUGAAGUACUGAAUCAAAUAGAAGAGACAGUUCCAACUAAGAAUCAUUUCAAAACUGAAGGGAACUCUUUUAGGUGCCCACAGACUGAAAAGACUUCCUCCGAAGAAAAACAAACUAAGGGUUAUUUCACCUGCUUUGAGUGUGGGAUGAAUUUCAUUCACCCUGAAAGCCUUAGAAUCCACAUGGGAAUCCACAAUGGAGA